Molecule: transfer RNA, 64 nt
Filed under: Dohrniphora cornuta
Lineage: Eukaryota; Metazoa; Arthropoda; Insecta; Diptera; Phoridae
Description: tRNA-Tyr
Source: RNAcentral
GAUUAAAUGGCUGAAGAUAGGCGAUAAACUGUAAAUUUAUUUAUGAGAAUAUUCUCUUUAAUCA